UGCGUAGGAUGCAAGCGUUGUCCGGAUUUAUUGGGUUUAAAGGGUGCUGAGGCGGCCUAUUAAGUUAGUGGUGAAAACGUUCGGCUUAACCGGAUACCCGCCAUUGAUACUGAUAGACUUGAGUGCGACAGAGGGUGUUGGAAUGUGUGGUGUAGCGGUGAAAUGCUUAGAUAUCACGCAGAACACCAAUUGCGAAGGCAGAUGCCUAUGUCGUAACUGACGCUGAGGCACGAAAGCGUGGGGAGCAAACAGG
Molecule: ribosomal RNA, 253 nt
Filed under: uncultured bacterium
Lineage: Bacteria
Description: partial 16S ribosomal RNA
Rfam family: Bacterial small subunit ribosomal RNA
Source: RNAcentral